GGGGCUGAAGGGUGCGGCUAUAGAGUGCACGUCGAGCGCAUGGAUUAAGAGCUUGCUCUUAUGAAGUUAGCGGCGGACGGGUGAGUAACACGUGGGUAACCUGCCCAUAAGACUGGGAUAACUCCGGGAAACCGGGGCUAAUACCGGAUAAGAUUUUGAACUGCACGGUUCGAAAUUGAAAGGCGGCUUCGGCUGUCACUUAUGGAUGGACCCGCGUCGCAUUAGCUAGUUGGUGAGGUAACGGCUCACCAAGGCAACGAUGCGUAGCCGACCUGAGAGGGUGAUCGGCCACACUGGGACUGAGACACGGCCCAAACUCCUACGGGAGGCAGCAUUAGGGAAUCUUCCGCAAUGGACGAAAGUCUGACGGAGCAACGCCGCGUGAGUGAUGAAGGCUUUCGGGUCGUAAAACUCUGUUGUUAGGGAAGAACAAGUGCUAGUUGAAUAAGCUGGCACCUUGACGGUACCUAACCAGAAAGCCACGGCUAACUACGUGCCAGCAGCCGCGGUAAUACGUAGGUGGCAAGCGUUAUCCGGAAUUAUUGGGCGUAAAGCGCGCGCAGGUGGUUUCUUAAGUCUGAUGUGAAAGCCCACGGCUCAACCGUGGAGGGUCAUUGGAAACUGGGAGACUUGAGUGCAGAAGAGGAAAGUGGAAUUCCAUGUGUAGCGGUGAAAUGCGUAGAGAUAUGGAGGAACACCAGUGGCGAAGGCGACUUUCUGGUCUGUAACUGACACUGAGGCGCGAAAGCGUGGGGAGCAAACAGGAUUAGAUACCCUGGUAGUCCACGCCGUAACGAUGAGUGCUAAGUGUUAGAGGGUUUCCGCCCUUUAGUGCUGAAGUUAACGCAUAAGCACUCCGCCCGGGGAGUACGGCCGCAGGCUGAACUCAAGGAAUUGACGGGGCCCGCACAAGCGGUGGAGCAUGUGGGUUUAAUUCGAAGCAACGCGGAGAACCUUACCAGUCUUGACAUCCUCUGAAAACGCUAGAGAUAGUGCUUCU
This 1000-nucleotide ribosomal RNA is filed under the name Bacillus mycoides. Its description in RNAcentral is "bacterial SSU rRNA". It matches the Rfam family "Bacterial small subunit ribosomal RNA", at positions 32 to 1016 of the family's 1533-position model. The record is from RNAcentral. Lineage: Bacteria; Bacillati; Bacillota; Bacilli; Caryophanales; Bacillaceae.